This 497-nucleotide ribosomal RNA is filed under the name uncultured bacterium. RNAcentral describes it as "partial 16S ribosomal RNA". It matches the Rfam family "Bacterial small subunit ribosomal RNA", at positions 28 to 507 of the family's 1533-position model. The record is from RNAcentral.
GAUGAACGCUGGCGGCGUGCCUAAUACAUGCAAGUCGAGCGAACAGACGAGGAGCUUGCUCCUCUGACGUUAGCGGCGGACGGGUGAGUAACACGUGGAUAACCUACCUAUAAGACUGGGAUAACUUCGGGAAACCGGAGCUAAUACCGGAUAACAUGUUGAACCGCAUGGUUCAACAGUGAAAGACGGUUUUGCUGUCACUUAUAGAUGGAUCCGCGUCGCAUUAGCUAGUUGGUAAGGUAACGGCUUACCAAGGCAACGAUGCGUAGCCGACCUGAGAGGGUGAUCGGCCACACUGGAACUGAGACACGGUCCAGACUCCUACGGGAGGCAGCAGUAGGGAAGCUUCCGCAAUGGGCGAAAGCCUGACGGAGCAACGCCGCGUGAGUGAAGAAGGUCUUCGGAUCGUAAAACUCUGUUAUUAGGGAAGAACAAAUGUGUAAGUAACUAUGCACGUCUUGACGGUACCUAAUCAGAAAGCCACGGCUAACUACGUG